This 468-nucleotide ribosomal RNA is filed under the name uncultured bacterium. RNAcentral's name for it is "partial 16S ribosomal RNA". It matches the Rfam family "Bacterial small subunit ribosomal RNA", at positions 28 to 507 of the family's 1533-position model. The record is from RNAcentral.
GACGAACGCUGGCGGCGUGCUUAACACAUGCAAGUCGAACGGAAAGGCCCUGCUUUUGUGGGGUGCUCGAGUGGCGAACGGGUGAGUAACACGUGAGUAACCUGCCCUUGACUUUGGGAUAACUUCAGGAAACUGGGGCUAAUACCGGAUAGGAGCUCCUGCUGCAUGGUGGGGGUUGGAAAGUUUCGGCGGUUGGGGAUGGACUCGCGGCUUAUCAGCUUGUUGGUGGGGUAGGGGCUUACCAAGGCUUUGACGGGUAGCCGGCCUGAGAGGGGGACCGGGCACAUUGGGACUGAGAUACGGCCCAGACUCCUACGGGAGGCAGAAGUGGGGAAUAUUGCACAAUGGGCGGAAGCCUGAUGCAGCAACGCCGCGUGCGGGAUGACGGCCUUCGGGUUGUAAACCGCUUUCGCCUGUGGCGAAGCGUGAGUGACGGUAAUGGGUAAAGAAGCACCGGCUAACUACGUG